This 508-nucleotide ribosomal RNA is filed under the name uncultured bacterium. RNAcentral's name for it is "partial 16S ribosomal RNA". It matches the Rfam family "Bacterial small subunit ribosomal RNA", at positions 28 to 523 of the family's 1533-position model. The record is from RNAcentral.
GAUGAACGCUAGCUACAGGCUUAACACAUGCAAGUCGAGGGGAAACGAUAGAGAAAGCUUGCUUUUUCUAGGCGUCGACCGGCGCACGGGUGAGUAACGCGUAUCCAACCUGCCCACCACUUGGGGAUAACCUUGCGAAAGUAAGACUAAUACCCAAUGAUAUCUCAAGAAGACAUCUGAAUGAGAUUAAAGAUUUAUCGGUGAUGGAUGGGGAUGCGUCUGAUUAGCUUGUUGGCGGGGUAACGGCCCACCAAGGCGACGAUCAGUAGGGGUUCUAAGAGGAAGGUCCCCCACAUGGGAACUGAGACACGGUCCAAACUCCUACGGGAGGAAGCAGUGAGGAAUAUUGGUCAAUGGGCGAGAGCCUGAACCAGCCAAGUAGCGUGCAGGAUGACGGCCCUAUGGGUUGUAAACUGCUUUUAUAAGGGAAUAAAGUGAGUCUCGUGAGGCUUUUUGCAUGUACCUUAUGAAUAAGGACCGGCUAAUUCCGUGCCAGCCGCCGCCGUAA